RNAcentral lists this ribosomal RNA (465 nucleotides) under Vreelandella stevensii. RNAcentral describes it as "partial 16S ribosomal RNA". It matches the Rfam family "Bacterial small subunit ribosomal RNA", at positions 338 to 795 of the family's 1533-position model. Lineage: Bacteria; Pseudomonadati; Pseudomonadota; Gammaproteobacteria; Oceanospirillales; Halomonadaceae. The record is from RNAcentral.
CCUACGGGGGGCAGCAGUGGGGAAUAUUGGACAAUGGGGGGAACCCUGAUCCAGCCAUGCCGCGUGUGUGAAGAAGGCCCUCGGGUUGUAAAGCACUUUCAGUGAGGAAGAACGCCUGGUGGUUAAUACCCAUCAGGAAAGACAUCACUCACAGAAGAAGCACCGGCUAACUCCGUGCCAGCAGCCGCGGUAAUACGGAGGGUGCGAGCGUUAAUCGGAAUUACUGGGCGUAAAGCGCGCGUAGGUGGCUUGAUAAGCCGGUUGUGAAAGCCCCGGGCUCAACCUGGGAACGGCAUCCGGAACUGUCAAGCUAGAGUGCAGGAGAGGAAGGUAGAAUUCCCGGUGUAGCGGUGAAAUGCGUAGAGAUCGGGAGGAAUACCAGUGGCGAAGGCGGCCUUCUGGCCUGACACUGACACUGAGGUGCGAACGCGUGGGUAGGAAACAGAAUUGGAUCCCCGAGAAGCC